This 481-nucleotide ribosomal RNA is filed under the name uncultured bacterium. RNAcentral's name for it is "partial 16S ribosomal RNA". It matches the Rfam family "Bacterial small subunit ribosomal RNA", at positions 28 to 507 of the family's 1533-position model. The record is from RNAcentral.
GAUGAACGCUGGCGGCGUGCUUAACACAUGCAAGUCGAACGAAACACCUUAUUUGAUUUUCUUCGGAACUGAAGAUUUGGUGAUUGAGUGGCGGACGGGUGAGUAACGCGUGGGUAACCUGCCCUGUACAGGGGGAUAACAGUCAGAAAUGACUGCUAAUACCGCAUAAGACCACAGCACCGCAUGGUGCAGGGGUAAAAACUCCGGUGGUACAGGAUGGACCCGCGUCUGAUUAGCUGGUUGGUGAGGUAACGGCUCACCAAGGCGACGAUCAGUAGCCGGCUUGAGAGAGUGAACGGCCACAUUGGGACUGAGACACGGCCCAAACUCCUACGGGAGGCAGCAGUGGGGAAUAUUGCACAAUGGGGGAAACCCUGAUGCAGCGACGCCGCGUGAGUGAAGAAGUAUUUCGGUAUGUAAAGCUCUAUCAGCAGGGAAGAAAAUGACGGUACUUGACUAAGAAGCCCCGGCUAACUACGUG